AAUAAAUCAAUUUUUUACUUUUUACCUUAAAUUUUUUACUCUGUCUUAUUUAAAUUUUUUUUGUGAUUGCUAUUUUUGUUUUUAUUAGAUGAUAAAUCAUGAAUAGUACUUUACGUGUGACUAAUAUUUUUUAAUUUCUUAAAAAUUUUUUAAAUAAAACAGAUGAUGAAACAUUGGACACGGAAACC
RNAcentral lists this microRNA precursor (188 nucleotides) under Oryza brachyantha (malo sina). RNAcentral describes it as "MIR812 microRNA precursor family". It matches the Rfam family "MIR812 microRNA precursor family". The record is from Rfam by way of RNAcentral. Lineage: Eukaryota; Viridiplantae; Streptophyta; Magnoliopsida; Poales; Poaceae.